CCUGCAUGAAGUUGGAAUUGCUAGUAAUCGCGAAUCAGAAUGUCGCCGGUGAAUACGUUCCCGGGCCUUGUACACACCGCCCGUCACACCAUGAGAGUCGAUAACACCCGAAGCCUGUGAGCUAACCGCAAGGAGGCAGCAGUCGAAGGUGGGGUUGAUGAUUGGGGUGAAGUCGUAACAAGGUACC
This 187-nucleotide ribosomal RNA is filed under the name uncultured bacterium. RNAcentral's name for it is "partial 16S ribosomal RNA". It matches the Rfam family "Bacterial small subunit ribosomal RNA", at positions 1315 to 1500 of the family's 1533-position model. The record is from RNAcentral.